Molecule: ribosomal RNA, 2905 nt
Filed under: Pseudoalteromonas rubra
Lineage: Bacteria; Pseudomonadati; Pseudomonadota; Gammaproteobacteria; Alteromonadales; Pseudoalteromonadaceae
Description: 23S ribosomal RNA
Rfam family: Bacterial large subunit ribosomal RNA
Source: RNAcentral
GUUGUAUGGUUAAGUGACUAAGCGUACACGGUGGAUGCCUUGGCAGUUGGAGGCGAUGAAGGACGUACUAACUUGCGAUAAGCCUAGUUGAGCCAGUAAGAGGCACUUGAGACUAGGAUUUCCGAAUGGGGAAACCCGGCCCUUUGGGUCAUCAUGCAGUGAAUACAUAGCUGUAUGAAGCGAACGCGGAGAACUGAAACAUCUAAGUACCCGUAGGAAAAGAAAUCAACCGAGAUUCCGAAAGUAGCGGCGAGCGAAAUCGGAUUAGCCCUUAAGCUUUAAUGUAGUUAGUGGAACAUUCUGGAAAGUAUGACGAUACAGGGUGACAGUCCCGUACACGACAACUUAUUUAAAGUGAAAUCGAGUAGGUCGGAGCACGUGAAACUUUGACUGAAUAUGGGGGGACCAUCCUCCAAGGCUAAAUACUCCCAACUGACCGAUAGUGAACCAGUACCGUGAGGGAAAGGCGAAAAGAACCCCUGUGAGGGGAGUGAAAUAGAACCUGAAACCGUGUACGUACAAGCAGUAGGAGCCCCUCGAGGGUGACUGCGUACCUUUUGUAUAAUGGGUCAGCGACUUAUAUUCUGUAGCAAGGUUAACCAUUUAGGGGAGCCGUAGCGAAAGCGAGUCUUAACUGGGCGCUUAAGUUGCAGGGUAUAGACCCGAAACCCGGUGAUCUAGCCAUGGGCAGGUUGAAGGUCAGGUAACACUGACUGGAGGACCGAACCCACUAACGUUGAAAAGUUAGGGGAUGACCUGUGGCUAGGAGUGAAAGGCUAAUCAAACCGGGAGAUAGCUGGUUCUCCCCGAAAUCUAUUUAGGUAGAGCCUCGGACGAAUACUUACGGGGGUAGAGCACUGUUAAGGCUAGGGGGUCAUCCCGACUUACCAACCCUUUGCAAACUCCGAAUACCGUAAAGUACUAUCCGGGAGACACACGGUGGGUGCUAACGUCCAUCGUGGAGAGGGAAACAACCCAGACCGUCAGCUAAGGUCCCAAAGUGUAUGUUAAGUGGGAAACGAUGUGGGAAGGCUAAAACAGCUAGGAGGUUGGCUUAGAAGCAGCCAUCCUUUAAAGAAAGCGUAAUAGCUCACUAGUCGAGUCGGCCUGCGCGGAAGAUGUAACGGGGCUAAACAUACCACCGAAGCUACGGCUGCGAACUUAGUUCGCGGGGUAGGGGAGCGUUCUGUAAGCGGCUGAAGGUGAACUGUAAGGUUUGCUGGACGUAUCAGAAGUGCGAAUGCUGACAUGAGUAACGAUAAUGCGGGUGAAAAACCCGCACGCCGGAAGACCAAGGGUUCCUAUCCCAUGUUAAUCAGGGUAGGGUGAGUCGACCCCUAAGGCGAGGCUGAAGAGCGUAGUCGAUGGGAAACGGGUUAAUAUUCCCGUACUUGGUAUAAAUGCGAUGGGGGGACGGAGCAGGCUAGGCAAGCAUGGCGUUGGUUGUCCAUGUGAAAGGCUGUAGGCUGGUGACUUAGGAAAAUCCGGGUCGCUAAGGCUGAGAGUCGAGACGAGCCACUACGGUGGUGAAGUUGUUGAUGCCCUACUUCCAGGAAAAGCCUCUAAGCUUCAGUUUAUAUCGAAUCGUACCCUAAACCGACACAGGUGGUCAGGUAGAGAAUACUAAGGCGCUUGAGAGAACUCGGGUGAAGGAACUAGGCAAAAUUGUACCGUAACUUCGGGAGAAGGUACGCUCUUACUUGUGAAGACUUCGCGUCGUAAGCAGGCGAGAGCCGCAGUGACCAGGUGGCUGGGACUGUUUAUUAAAAACACAGCACUGUGCAAAAUCGUAAGAUGACGUAUACGGUGUGACACCUGCCCGGUGCCGGAAGGUUAAUUGAUGGGGUUAGCUUAGGCGAAGCUCUUGAUCGAAGCCCCGGUAAACGGCGGCCGUAACUAUAACGGUCCUAAGGUAGCGAAAUUCCUUGUCGGGUAAGUUCCGACCUGCACGAAUGGUGUAACCAUGGCCACGCUGUCUCCACCCGAGACUCAGUGAAAUUGAAAUCGCAGUGAAGAUGCUGUGUACCCGCGGCUAGACGGAAAGACCCCGUGAACCUUUACUACAGCUUGGCACUGAACAUUGACCCUACAUGUGUAGGAUAGGUGGGAGGCUUUGAAGCGCAGUCGCUAGAUUGCGUGGAGCCGUCCUUGAAAUACCACCCUUGUAGUGUUGAUGUUCUAACUUAGGCCCCUAAUCGGGGUUGAGGACAGUGCCUGGUGGGUAGUUUGACUGGGGCGGUCUCCUCCCAAAGAGUAACGGAGGAGCACGAAGGUUGGCUAAGUACGGUCGGACAUCGUACGGUUAGUGUAAUGGUAGAAGCCAGCUUAACUGCGAGACAGACACGUCGAGCAGGUACGAAAGUAGGUCAUAGUGAUCCGGUGGUUCUGAAUGGAAGGGCCAUCGCUCAACGGAUAAAAGGUACUCCGGGGAUAACAGGCUGAUACCGCCCAAGAGUUCAUAUCGACGGCGGUGUUUGGCACCUCGAUGUCGGCUCAUCACAUCCUGGGGCUGAAGUCGGUCCCAAGGGUAUGGCUGUUCGCCAUUUAAAGUGGUACGCGAGCUGGGUUUAGAACGUCGUGAGACAGUUCGGUCCCUAUCUGCCGUGGGCGUUUGAGAAUUGAGAGGGGCUGCUCCUAGUACGAGAGGACCGGAGUGGACGAACCGCUGGUGUUCGGGUUGUCAUGCCAAUGGCAUUGCCCGGUAGCUACGUUCGGAAUCGAUAACCGCUGAAAGCAUCUAAGCGGGAAGCGAGCCUCGAGAUGAGUUCUCACUUUAACUUUAAGUUAACUGAAGGGCCGUUGAAGACUACAACGUUGAUAGGCGAGAUGUGGAAGUGGUGUGAGCCAUUGAGCUAACUCGUACUAAUUACCCGUGAGGCUUAACCAUACAACGCCAAAGUGGUUU